CCUAAUGCUAACUCUAAGAACAUAAUGCUAUCUACUCCCAAUAGAAGACCAACAUGUACACACACACUGACACCGGAAUAUUUAGCUAAUAGUAUAUGAACCAGCUACCAGAGUCAUGGUCAUGCAACCUGUAAUUAAUUAAUGAGCCUUUCCCACCCAUAGGCCGAUUUAAUACCUAAAUGUAGAUAACGAACAGCCUGACCCUACCCCAACACAUUAUGCAUAAUAUAUACACUAGAACCAAGCUAUGGUACAUACUAUAGGUCAAGUUAUAGGAACCAAAAAAGCUGUUGUGAUUUCACCCACCCACACACACAGACAACUAGAACUCUGUGGUAAAAAAAAAAUAAUGGUACAUGUACAUAACCCUCAGUAGUAACACCUUGAGGGAGCCUUAAAUUAAAGCUCACAUGAUCCAAGCAUGCCAUAUAGAAACAAAUGGAUAAAAUGGAGUGUAACCAAAAAAAGUCAUCUGAAGCCAUCCAGUAAGUAACGCAAUAUCUGGCCUUUAUGAUAUUAUUAUGCUGCACUUGUAUGAAUACAUAAAACUAAUUAUAUAGCACAUGUCAAAAUCCUUAAUUCUGUAUGCCCAAGAAAUCAGCAGCAACUUAGCUCACGUGAAUCAUCGUAAUGACAACGUAUAGACCACCCCCACUAACAAGUUUACCCAUAACUACUGCUAGAAUAGGAAAUAAUGUAGUAAUGAAUGUUACAUGAUAAUUAUAGUAAUGCCAUUUGUUGGCAUUAUAGCAAAUCCGGACUCCAUAGGGAGUGGUUCCGCCUAUUCUGUAGUCGACCACGGGUCGGGAAAUUAAAGGAACCGAAACCCGUGGCCUGACGAGGAUCAGAUUAGGUUCUCCCCUGAUGACCGGUGCAUUCAAUAAACCGAGAGCAGAAGGCAUAAGCCUACUAACCUCGCACUUACGAUAGAUACUAUAGCUCUUCCUGUGUUCACAUAAUAAUCAUGUACUAUUGGGUAGCUUAGGGUCAUUCGCAACACUCACGUGCAUUUUAUAAACAGUCACCAUGUGACUUAACCUUAGCACAGCAAGCUAAGCUACCUAUUUUAUACCUACACAGCACUUUAAAUUAAAACCUGCUAUACCAGAACAAUAAUUAGAUAGAUAGACUAUAAGAUCGGAUUACGCGGGACCUGUUACAAGUGAGUGUUUCUCUCUUUUCUACUCUUAGGCUGAGUCAGUAAUUAUGUGUCGGAAAGCCCGAUCCCACCUCCUAUACUUCUGUAUAUACCAUUCUCAAACACACACACACACACACACACACACACACACCUCUCCCACACAUACACAUACACACACAUACACUGGUGCCCAUACUUCCUGGCAGAGUUUGAUGGGGGAAAUGUGUUCACAAGACCAUUUUCUCACCAACUCACGCAGACAAACAACCAGAUCACUGAAUAUAGGUUAUAGUAUGUUUCUACUACUGUGAGCUCAUGAGGUAAACAGCACUCUCAAGUGAGUAGGUAAGAACAUAUCCAUGAGUCUCGUCACACCGACAAUGCACACCUCUAACCUUUCUAUUGCAUACUCAGCAAAUGUCUCUUCCACAAAUCUGUCAUCCUACCUAUCGAGUGAGCACACAAACUGUUCUAACCACCAGCCAAAAUAUCUACUCCACCAAUACCAACGGCAGUACCAACAACAAUACUGUGGCAUAUGAGAGCAGGACUCCCUCUGCUGCCACUGUUGCCCACAGCCUGCUCCCACCUUCCUCAGCGACGCCCUCACAGUCCUCUGACAGUACAAAGGUCAAGAAGUACGAGAGCAUGAAGGUGGAGGACAUUGAGAACUAAAUCACUGACACUUGCAAAAAAAAAAACAUUAGUAGUG
Halichondria panicea is the source of this 1853-nucleotide RNA transcript. RefSeq lists it as uncharacterized. Lineage: Eukaryota; Metazoa; Porifera; Demospongiae; Suberitida; Halichondriidae. The record is from RefSeq and is a predicted model, not a curated record. The transcript has 2 exons.